GAAAAGAAACUAACAAGGAUUCCCCUAGUAACGGCGAGUGAAGUGGGAAAAGCUCAACUUUGAAAUCUGGCUGCUUCGCAGUCCGAGUUGUAGUCUCGAGAAGUGUUUUCCGCGCUGGAACAUGCAUGAGUCUGCUGGAACGCAGCGUCAUAGAGGGUGACAACCCCGUUCAUGGUAUGCCUCCCAGUGCUUUGUGAUACACUUUCGAUGAGUCGAGUUGUUUGGGAAUGCAGCUCAAAAUGGGUGGUAAAUUCCAUCUAAAGCUAAAUAUUGGUGGGAGACCGAUAGCAAACAAGUACCGUGAGGGAAAGAUGAAAAGCACUUUGGAAAGAGAGUUAAAAGUACGUGAAAUUGUCGAAAGGGAAACGCUUGAAGUCAGACGUGCGUUGUCGGUUUACCGGCAGUUGCAGGCUAGCAUCGGUUUUGCGAGCUGGAUAAAGGCGGAAGAAGGUAGCAGCUUCGGCUGUGUUAUAGCUUUCGACUGAAUACAGAUUGUGAGACCGAGGGACGCAGUGCGCCGCAAGGCAGAGGAUCCGUCCUCUUCGCACUUAGGAUGCUGGUGAAAUGGCUUUAAACGACCCGUCUUGAACCACGGAC
Molecule: ribosomal RNA, 597 nt
Filed under: Rhodotorula sp. UFMG-ABT656
Lineage: Eukaryota; Fungi; Basidiomycota; Microbotryomycetes; Sporidiobolales; Sporidiobolaceae
Description: eukaryotic LSU rRNA
Rfam family: Eukaryotic large subunit ribosomal RNA
Source: RNAcentral